UGGGGAAUAUUGGACAAUGGGCGAAAGCCUGAUCCAGCCAUGCCGCGUGUGUGAAGAAGGUCUUCGGAUUGUAAAGCACUUUAAGUUGGGAGGAAGGGCAGUAAAUUAAUACUUUGCUGUUUUGACGUUACCGACAGAAUAAGCACCGGCUAACUCUGUGCCAGCAGCCGCGGUAAUACAGAGGGUGCAAGCGUUAAUCGGAAUUACUGGGCGUAAAGCGCGCGUAGGUGGUUCGUUAAGUUGGAUGUGAAAUCCCCGGGCUCAACCUGGGAACUGCAUU
Molecule: ribosomal RNA, 280 nt
Filed under: uncultured bacterium
Lineage: Bacteria
Description: partial 16S ribosomal RNA
Rfam family: Bacterial small subunit ribosomal RNA
Source: RNAcentral